Molecule: unclassified non-coding RNA, 319 nt
Filed under: Hevea brasiliensis (rubber tree)
Lineage: Eukaryota; Viridiplantae; Streptophyta; Magnoliopsida; Malpighiales; Euphorbiaceae
Source: RNAcentral
ACCUAAUAAGCUCCACAUCAGAAAAAUUUACAUCUUGGAUUUUUCAUUGCCCACAAUGUAUAUAGAACAGCUCUCACCCAUGUAUGGAAGGAACAAUUGCUUCACAUGUCACUUCUUGGCUUUGAGCGAGCAAAGGAGACAUCAAUCGCAGACAUGGAAGAUAUUUUUUAUGAGUUUUGAAUUAAAGAAAGGAAGGAUGUUGGUUGGAGAAGCUGUCGAGACACAAUAGCAAAAGAAGAACGAAAGGGAGGAAGAAAGCUUUCGCUUUUGGAGGCUCGGGUUUUUCCUUAAUUCAGGGUGGAAUUACACAAUUCUCAAU